AACGAACGCUGGCGGCAUGCCUAACACAUGCAAGUCGAACGAGACCUUCGGGUCUAGUGGCGCAUGGGUGCGUAACGCGUGGGAACCUGCCCUUAGGUUCGGAAUAACUAGCCGAAAGGGGUGCUAAUACCGGAUAAUGUCUUCAGACCAAAGAUUUAUAGCCUUAGGAUGGGCCCGCGUUGGAUUAGCUAGUUGGUAGGGUAAAAGCCUACCAAGGCGACGAUCCAUAGCUGGUCUGAGAGGAAGAUCAGCCACACUGGGACUGAGACACAGCCCAGACUCCUACGGAAGGCAGCAGUGCUGAAUAUUGCACAAUGGGCGAAAUCCUGAUCCACCAAUGCCGCGUGAGUGAUGAAGGCCUUAGAGUUGUAAAGCUCUUUUACCCGGGAUGAUAAUGACAGUACCGGAAGAAUAAGCUCCGGCUAACUCCGUG
Molecule: ribosomal RNA, 433 nt
Filed under: uncultured bacterium
Lineage: Bacteria
Description: partial 16S ribosomal RNA
Rfam family: Bacterial small subunit ribosomal RNA
Source: RNAcentral